ACAGGGAUUACCUCAGUAACGGCGAGUGAAGCGGUAAUAGCUCAAAUUUGAAAUCUGGCUCUUUCAGGGUCCGAGUUGUAAUUUGUAGAGGAUGUUUCGGGCACGGUUACGGUUUAAAUUUCUUGGAACAGAAUGUCAAAGAGGGUGAGAGUCCCGUCUUGAACCGAUUACUUCGUCCAUGUGAAACUCCUUCGACGAGUCGAGUUGUUUGGGAAUGCAGCUCAAAAUGGGUGGUAAAUUUCAUCUAAAGCUAAAUAUUGGCCAGAGACCGAUAGCGCACAAGUAGAGUGAUCGAAAGAUGAAAAGCACUUUGAAAAGAGAGUUAAACAGUAUGUGAAAUUGUUGAAAGGGAAGCGCUUGCAAUCAGACUUGAGCUUAACGGUUCCCCCUUCGUUCUCGAUGGGUUAUUCCGUUUUGUCCAGGCCAACAUCAGUUCGGGUGGUUAGUUAAAGACUUUAGGAAUGUAUCUACCCUCCGGGGUCGACUUAUAGCCUAGAGUGUCAUGUAGCCUACCUGGACUGAGGAACGCGCUUCGGCUCGGAUGUUGGCGUAAUGGUUGUAAGCGACCCGUCUUGAAACACGGACCAAGGAGUCUAACAUCUAUGCGAGUUUUAGAGUUUCAAACUCUGAGGCGUAAUGAAAGUGAACGGAGGUAAGAAGCCUUUAGGCUGCAUUAUCGACCGAUCUUGAUGUCUUCGGAUGGAUUUGAGUAAGAGCAUAGCUGUUGGGACCCGAAAGAUGGUGAACUAUGCCUGAAUAGGGUGAAGCCAGAGGAAACUCUGGUGGAGGCUCGCAGCGGUUCUGACGUGCAAAUCGAUCGUCAAAUUUGGGUAUAGGGGC
RNAcentral lists this ribosomal RNA (840 nucleotides) under Cladophialophora globosa. RNAcentral describes it as "Cladophialophora sp. XZL-2018c partial large subunit ribosomal RNA". It matches the Rfam family "Eukaryotic large subunit ribosomal RNA", at positions 68 to 924 of the family's 3401-position model. Lineage: Eukaryota; Fungi; Ascomycota; Eurotiomycetes; Chaetothyriales; Herpotrichiellaceae. The record is from RNAcentral.